UAAGUAUGAGCCGAAAUAAAGUGAGACCGCGAAUGGCUCAUUACAUCAGUUAUGGUUCCUUAGAUCUUCGGUAUCCUACUUGGAUAACCCUGGAAAUUCUAGAGCUAAUACAUGCAAACGCAGCCUCGACCCUGUCGGGAAGAGGCGUUUUUGUUAGACCAAAACCAAUCGGGGGAAGGGGGUGGGGGGUUUCGGCCCCCUCUUUCCGAGCCCGUCCUUUUGGUGAGUCUGAACAACCUUGGGCAGAUCGCACGGCCUUGCGCCGGCGACAUCUCUUUCAAAUGUCUGCCUUAUCAACUUGAUGGUAGGUUACGCGCCUACCAUGGUGAUAACGGGUAACGGAGAAUCAGGGUUCGAUGCCGGAGAGGGAGCCUGAGAAACGGCUACCACAUCCAAGGAAGGCAGCAGGCACGCAAAUUACCCACUCCCGGCACGGGGAGGUAGUGACGAAAAAUAACAAUACGGGACUCAUCCGAGGCCCCGUAAUUGGAAUGAGUACACUUCAAAUCCUUUAACGAGGAUCCAUUGGAGGGCAAGUCUGGUGCCAGCAGCCGCGGUAAUUCCAGCUCCAAUAGCGUAUAUUAAAGUUGCUGCGGUUAAAAAGCUCGUAGUUGGAUCUCAGUUGCGGGCGGGCGGUUCGCCUCACGGCGCUACUGCCCGGGCCGGACCUAUCGCCGGUUCCACCGAGGUGCCCUUCGCUGGGUGCCCCGGAGGACCGGGGCGUUUACUUUGAAAAAAUUGGAGUGCUCAAAGCAGGCGAACGCCUGUACAUUCGUGCAUGGAAUAAUGGAAAAUGGCCUCGGCGCUAUUUUGUUGGUUCUAGGCUCUCGAGGUAAUGGUUGAAGGGGACAGCCGGGGGCAUUCGUAUUGCGACGUUAGAGGUGAAAUUCUUAGAUCGUCGCAAGACGGACUACUGCGAAAGCAUUUGCCAAGAAUGUUUUCAUUAAUCAAGAACGAAAGUCAGAGGUUCGAAGGCGAUCAGAUACCGCCCUAGUUCUGACCUUAAACGAUGCCAACUGGCGAUCCGCCGGGGGUAUUUCCAUGACCUGGCGGGCAGCUUCCGGGAAACCAAAGUUUUUGGGUUCCGGGGGAAGUAUGGUUGCAAAGCUGGAACUUAAAGGAAUUGACGGAAGGGCACCACCAGGAGUGGAGCCUGUGGCUUAAUUUGACUCAACACGGGAAACCUCACCAGGACCAGACACUGGAAGGAUUGACAGAUUGAGAGCUCUUUCUUGAUUUGGUGGGUGGUGGUGCAUGGCCGUUCUUAGUUGGUGGAGUGAUUUGUCUGGUUAAUUCCGAUAACGAACGAGACUCUGGCCUGCUAAAUAGGCGGCGGAUCCUCUCGAGUCCGCUUCGCUCUUCUUAGAGGGACAAGGCAGCUCCAAGCUGCGUGAAAUGGGGCAAUAACAGGUCUGUGAUGCCCUUAGAUGUUCUGGGCCGCACACGCGCUACACUGAAGGCGGCAACGUGUUGGUCUGGCUCGAAAGGGUCGGGUAACCCGUUGAAUCGCCUUCGUGCUGGGGAUUGAGGUUUGCAAUUAUCCUUCAUGAACGAGGAAUUCCCAGUAGGUGCAAGUCAUAAGCUUGCGCCGACUACGUCCCUGCCCUUUGUACACACCGCCCGUCGCUACUACCGAUUGAAUGAUUUAGUGAGGGCUUCGGACUGGGACCGAUGCGGCCUUUCGGGGUUGCGCCGGCCUUCCGGAAAGAUGCCCAAAA
This 1718-nucleotide ribosomal RNA is filed under the name Chrissia dongqianhuensis. Its description in RNAcentral is "SSU rRNA". It matches the Rfam family "Eukaryotic small subunit ribosomal RNA". Lineage: Eukaryota; Metazoa; Arthropoda; Ostracoda; Podocopida; Cyprididae. The record is from RNAcentral.